This 453-nucleotide ribosomal RNA is filed under the name uncultured bacterium. RNAcentral describes it as "bacterial SSU rRNA". It matches the Rfam family "Bacterial small subunit ribosomal RNA", at positions 340 to 786 of the family's 1533-position model. The record is from RNAcentral.
UACGGAAGGCAGCAGUAGGGAAUCUUCCGCAAUGGACGAAAGUCUGACGGAGCAACGCCGCGUGAACGAUGAAGGCUUUCGGGUCGUAAAGUUCUGUUGUUAGGGAGAACAAGUACCGGAGUAACUGCCGGUACCUUGACGGUACCUAACCAGAAAGCCACGGCUAACUACGUGCCAGCAGCCGCGGUAAUACGUAGGUGGCAAGCGUUGUCCGGAAUUAUUGGGCGUAAAGCGCGCGCAGGCGGUCCUUUAAGUCUGAUGUGAAAGCCCACGGCUCAACCGUGGAGGGUCAUUGGAAACUGGGGACUUGAGUGCAGAAGAGGAGAGUGGAAUUCCACGUGUAGCGGUGAAAUGCGUAGAGAUGUGGAGGAACACCAGUGGCGAAGGCGACUCUCUGGUCUGUAACUGACGCUGAGGCGCGAAAGCGUGGGGAGCGAACAGGGAUUAGAUACC